GAGCUCGUAGCUCAGCUGGUAGAGCAACGCCCUUUUAAGGCGUGGGUCCUGGGUUCGAAUCCCAGCGGGCUCACCA
This 76-nucleotide transfer RNA is filed under the name Pseudacidobacterium ailaaui. Its description in RNAcentral is "Acidobacterium ailaaui (wood decay metagenome) tRNA-Lys". It matches the Rfam family "tRNA". From Rfam's summary of the family: Transfer RNA (tRNA) molecules are approximately 80 nucleotides in length. Their secondary structure includes four short double-helical elements and three loops (D, anti-codon, and T loops). The record is from RNAcentral. RNAcentral also lists the same sequence under 2 other names. Lineage: Bacteria; Pseudomonadati; Acidobacteriota; Terriglobia; Terriglobales; Acidobacteriaceae.